Molecule: ribosomal RNA, 415 nt
Filed under: uncultured Nitrosomonas sp.
Lineage: Bacteria; Pseudomonadati; Pseudomonadota; Betaproteobacteria; Nitrosomonadales; Nitrosomonadaceae
Description: bacterial SSU rRNA
Rfam family: Bacterial small subunit ribosomal RNA
Source: RNAcentral
GGAGGAAAGCAGGGGAUCGCAAGACCUUGCGCUAAAGGAGCGGCCGAUGUCUGAUUAGCUAGUUGGUGGGGUAAAGGCUUACCAAGGCAACGAUCAGUAGUUGGUCUGAGAGGACGGCCAACCACACUGGGACUGAGACACGGCCCAGACUCCUACGGGAGGCAGCAGUGGGGAAUUUUGGACAAUGGGCGAAAGCCUGAUCCAGCCAUGCCGCGUGAGUGAAGAAGGCCUUCGGGUUGUAAAGCUCUUUUAGUCGGAAAGAAAGAGUUGCAAUGAAUGAUUGUGAUUUAUGACGGUACCGACAGAAAAAGCACCGGCUAACUACGUGCCAGCAGCCGCGGUAAUACGUAGGGUGCGAGCGUUAAUCGGAAUUACUGGGCGUAAAGGGUGCGCAGGCGGUCUUGCAAGUCAGAUG